This 68-nucleotide transfer RNA is filed under the name Marmota monax (woodchuck). RNAcentral describes it as "tRNA.Ala". The record is from RNAcentral. Lineage: Eukaryota; Metazoa; Chordata; Mammalia; Rodentia; Sciuridae.
GGAUUGUGGCUCAGUGGCAGAGCACUUGCCUAGCACAUGCAAGGCCCUGGGUUUGAUCCUCAGCACCA